AUGUCCUCCAACGAGCUCUUGGAGGAAGUGAGAGGGCGACCGGCUUUAAUUUCGUCUCUCUAAUUUCCCCAGAAAUUGAAAAGAAAAAAAAAAUUUAAUAAAAAAACCCAAUAAUGUUAUACGAGCACAAAUAGCAUCUUAAAUUUUGUUCCUUUUUGCUUCGUUAAUUUUAAUUCCGAGGGAAAAUGUUGGGACCUGUUUGGUUGCUCGGAAAAUUUCACUGAGAUUCUGGUUUCUUUCUAGAGUUUGAAACUUGCAGAGCUAAUUUCAAUGGCAGAGGAAGCUCGGAAUGUGAGGAGCCCUCAUUUUUUUGCGUUUUAUUCUGCUGAUUUGAGCUCUGAAAGACUGAAAAUCCCAGAAAGAUUCAUGAGACACAUGGAAGGCAGAACAUCUGGGUUAGUUUCGUUGUUCGGCCCUAGCGGCAGUGAAUGGAGUGUUGAAUUGAUUCAACAGAAUGGUGGUUUGUUCUUGCAUCGUGGGUGGCCGGCAUUUGUGAGAGACCAUUAUGUGGAAUGCGGGGACUUCUUGAUUUUUAGAUACGAUGGUGAUUUGUGUUUCACCGUGCUAAUUUUUGAUCAAAGUGCAUGUGAGAAAGAGGCUGCAUUUCGUUUUGGAUACGGGCAAGACUCCAGGAACUUUGACAAGUAUAUGUAUAUGGGACGAAAAAGGAGAAGGGAGGAGGUCGCAUCAUCUGGGAAUAAGCUGGUUGAUGGUGCGGUGAAGAAGAUUAGAAACGGUUCGUCUCAAUUCCGGUCAGAAUGCAUUGAUGAGGGUCGAGAAGAAGCAACUUGUUCCACAGAAAAAAAUCCACUUGAGAAUCCUGGUUUGGAUGUUGUUUCAUAUAAAGCGAAGGAAUCGAUCCAAAAUAUGUGUGGAAAAGGAGAUGGAUUAAAUGUUAAUGGUAGACUUUGUAUGCAGAUGUCAUCAGCACAUGAAGUAGCUCCAUCAUUUAGCUCCUCUAAUCCUUAUUUCGUGAGAAUCAUAAAAAGUUUCAACAUCAGUGGUUCAUAUACUCUGAUGGAAUUAACCACAAUCACCCAGAGGUUGUGCCCGUGGUUCCUCAUUCCGUCGUUCAGGUUUGGGGUUUGGAAAAUGUCCACGAAUAUCCCAUAUAAAUUUUCAGUGGCACAUUUACCAAACUGCAAAGUAAAGAUUGUCCUUCAAAAUUGGAAAGGAGAAAGUUGGACUGUCAAUUCUGUGCCAAGUAAUAGAGUGCAUACCAGUCACACUCUUUGUGGAGGAUGGAUGGCGUUUGUUCGUUAUAAUGACAUACAGCUGGGAGAUAUCUGCACUUUUGAACUUGUGCGUGAGUUUGAAUUCUGUGUCCACAUUCAAAAGGGAGAAACAUCUAGUUGGUUAAGUCCGGGGCUAGCUGUCACUACGCAUAAAACUAUCAAAGGCUUGUCAAAGAAAAUGAAAGGGAACUCUCCCAAAGUCCUUUCAAAGAGCAUAAGAGAGAUAGCUGAUAAACUAUCAUCAAAGAAGGAUCAAGACGCUGCUUUCAUUAAUGACACAAGGAAAUAUGGCAGCACAUCAAGAUCUCUUACUAAAGCUGCACUCGCUCAGUCAAAAGUUGCUAGUAAAAAGUUGGUUAAUCGCAGGAAAAAAGUUGUUGAUGAUGAACUGGAUUCAAAAUCAAGUGGUUUGAGAAUCAAGUUAACACUUGAUGAAGAAAGAAUAGCUCGAUCUUUCACUUCUUGUUUCCCGAAUUUUGUGAAAAUCAUGAAGAAGUUCAACAUCAGUGGAUCUUAUACAUUGAAAAUCCCAUACCAGUUUUCCACAGAAUACCUCCCCAACUUUAAAACAGAGAUUGUGCUUCGAAACUCAAAGGGGGAAUGUUGGACUGUGAACUCUGUCCCAGACUCGAAAGGGCGUGUGGUGCAUACUUUUUGCGGAGGGUGGAUGGCAUUUGUACGCGGAAAUGACAUUAACAUUGGAGAUGUUUGCAUUUUUGAGCUUGUUGGUAAGGAUGAAAUGCACGUGCACAUUUCCGGUGUUGGUAAAAAGGGAUUUGACCAUCUAGGCGGACAAGGAACAUCAAAUGUAGUAUAGCGAUUGUGUAAUCUACCAGAAAUGUACCUUCUCUCUGACACAUGAUCCAGCUCAACCAUCCCUACUACGUGUUCUGUGGUGAGCUUUCCUAUUUGCGCUAUGUUUUUCUCUGAUCGUGUUCUUCAUGUCAUGGCAACUGCUAACUAAACAUUGGCGCUUCUUCCUUUUCCCCCGGGCAUAAUCAUGUGCGUUUGUCAUCACUUUUAACGUGUUUUCCCCUUGGUGAAUUCACUUUGGUAUAAUGCAUGCUGCAUUAAAGAGUAGAGUUUCUGCAUUUUUGGUAAUGGAUGGAGAGUAACCGAUUUGCUGGUGUAAUGGUGUGAUGGUGUAUGCUGUACAUUUGUUUAGGGUCACUACAUUCUCAGGCAUUGUUUUUGCUUUUAAUUCUCAGUGUCACGGAGAAACUUGUAACGAUAAUCGGAUCUCACUCUUCAGAGUUUUCGUAUGAUCGGCACGGCACUCUUGAUGCAAUCGACAUGAAUGAUAGUACAGAGGGGGAUAUUGUUGGUUGAAA
Malus domestica (apple) is the source of this 2566-nucleotide RNA transcript. It is a transcript of the gene named B3 domain-containing protein Os01g0723500-like, with no coding region annotated. NCBI's taxonomy places the organism in Eukaryota, Viridiplantae, Streptophyta, Magnoliopsida, Rosales, Rosaceae. The record is from RefSeq and is a predicted model, not a curated record.